This 206-nucleotide ribosomal RNA is filed under the name uncultured bacterium. RNAcentral's name for it is "partial 16S ribosomal RNA". It matches the Rfam family "Bacterial small subunit ribosomal RNA", at positions 567 to 774 of the family's 1533-position model. The record is from RNAcentral.
GAGCGCAGGUGGUUGUAUAAGUCUGAAGUAAAAGGCAGUGGCUCAACCAUUGUGUGCUUUGGAAACUGUACAACUUGAGUGCAGAAGGGGAGAGUGGAAUUCCAUGUGUAGCGGUGAAAUGCGUAGAUAUAUGGAGGAACACCGGUGGCGAAAGCGGCUCUCUGGUCUGUAACUGACACUGAGGCUCGAAAGCGUGGGAGCAAACA